This 468-nucleotide ribosomal RNA is filed under the name uncultured bacterium. RNAcentral's name for it is "partial 16S ribosomal RNA". It matches the Rfam family "Bacterial small subunit ribosomal RNA", at positions 28 to 507 of the family's 1533-position model. The record is from RNAcentral.
GACGAACGCUGGCGGCGUGCUUAACACAUGCAAGUCGAACGGAAAGGCCCUGCUUUUUUGGGGUGCUCGAUUGGCGAUCUUGUGAUUAACACGUGUGUAUCCUGCCCUUUACUUUGGUAUAUCUUCAGGAAACUUGUGCUUAUACCCGAUAGGUUCUCCUGCUGCAUGUUUUGUGUUGUAUCGUUUCGGCGGUUGUGGAUGGACUCGCGGCUUAUCAGCUUUUUGGUUGGGUAGUGGCUUACCAAGGCUUUGACGGGUAGCCGGCCUGAGAGGGUGACCGGCAACAUUGGGAAUGAGAUACGGCACAGACGCCGACGGGAGGCAGCAGUGGGGAAUAUUGCAAAAUGGGCGGAAGCCUGAUGCAGCAACGCCGCGUGCGGGAUGACGGCCUUCGGGUUGUAAAACGAUUUCGCAUGUGACGAAGCGUGAGUGACGGUAAUGGGUAAAGAAGCAACGGCUAACUACGUG